RNAcentral lists this ribosomal RNA (821 nucleotides) under uncultured bacterium. RNAcentral's name for it is "bacterial SSU rRNA". It matches the Rfam family "Bacterial small subunit ribosomal RNA", at positions 684 to 1504 of the family's 1533-position model. The record is from RNAcentral.
AAAUGCGUAGAUAUUAGGAGGAACACCGGUGGCGAAGGCGGCUUACUGGACUGUAACUGACGCUGAGUCACGAAAGCGUGGGUAGCAAACAGGAUUAGAUACCCUGGUAGUCCCACGCCGUAAACGAUGAGUGCUAGGUGUUGGGCAGCAAUGCUCAGUGCCGAAGUAAACACAAUAAGCACUCCGCCUGGGGAGUACGUACGCAAGUAUGAAACUCAAAGGAAUUGACGGGGACCCGCACAAGCAGCGGAGCAUGUGGUUUAAUUCGAAGCAACGCGAAGAACCUUACCAAGGCUUGACAUCCCCUUGACAGAUGCAGAGAUGUGUCCUCCUCUUCGGAGGCAAGGGAGACAGGUGGUGCAUGGUUGUCGUCAGCUCGUGUCGUGAGAUGUUGGGUUAAGUCCCGCAACGAGCGCAACCCUUAUCCUUAGUUGCCAGCAUGUAAAGAUGGGCACUCUAAGGAGACUGCCGGUGAUAAACCGGAGGAAGGUGGGGAUGACGUCAAAUCAUCAUGCCCCUUAUGUCUUGGGCUACACACGUACUACAAUGGCUAUUACAGAGGGAAGCGAAGCCGCGAGGUGGAGCAAAUCUCCAAAAAUAGUCCCAGUUCAGAUUGUAGGCUGAAACUCGCCUACAUGAAGUCGGAAUUGCUAGUAAUGGCAGGUCAGCAUACUGCCGUGAAUACGUUCCCGGGCCUUGUACACACCGCCCGUCACACCAUGAGAGUCUGCAACACCCGAAGUCAGUAGUCUAACUUUUUAAGAGGACGCUGCCGAAGGUGGGGCCGAUGAUUGGGGUGAAGUCGUAACAAGGUAACCGUA